CGCGUAGGUGGUUUGAUAAGCGAGAUGUGAAAGCCCCGGGCUUAACCUGGGAACGGCAUUUCGAACUGUCAGGCUAGAGUAUGGUAGAGGAGUGUGGAAUUUCCUGUGUAUCGGUGAAAUGCGUAGAUAUAGGAAGGAACACCAGUGGCGAAGGCGGCACUCUGGACCAAUACUGACACUGAGGUGCGAAAGCGUGGGGAGCAAACA
RNAcentral lists this ribosomal RNA (207 nucleotides) under uncultured bacterium. RNAcentral describes it as "partial 16S ribosomal RNA". It matches the Rfam family "Bacterial small subunit ribosomal RNA", at positions 568 to 774 of the family's 1533-position model. The record is from RNAcentral.